ACUUCUUGUCAGAAGGGGUAAUAGCAAGUCUAGGAAUAAGAACAAUUCGCCCAAUCUUAUCUCCUAUAAUCACUUUCACCUUUAUCAUGUAAUCAUACAUCUCUGUAAUCUGAAGUCGAGUUCCAUUCAUUAAUCCGCCAGUAGGAUCUAUGUUUCUUAGCAACAUCACAAGACAACCGAUUUUCAAUGAUUUGGUAAACCUUAAACUCAGAACAUCUUUCUCUUUCACUCACUACAGUUUUCGACUCUUCAAAAACCUUCUUUUUGCAAUCGAGGCAACUAAAAUAAUACCAACCCCAAUCGAUAUUAAUGUCACAUAUAGUUGCCAUAACUCUGCAUUGUUCAAUCUAAAAAAAAAAAAAAAAUUAUUUGAGUGACAUUUUAUAUAAAUAUAAAAAUAUCAAUAUAUAUAUUAUAUAAUAUUAC
This 426-nucleotide long non-coding RNA is filed under the name Brassica napus (rape). Its description in RNAcentral is "long non-coding RNA (BNAP_LNC016922)". Lineage: Eukaryota; Viridiplantae; Streptophyta; Magnoliopsida; Brassicales; Brassicaceae. The record is from RNAcentral.